CGGUGUUUAACUGGCGUGAUGUGGGACGUCCUACCGGUGGGCUUAGCCUCGCGAGGGGCGGCCCAACUAAUAUCCCGUCGCGGUGCUCUUUACUGAGUGUCGAGUCGGGCCGGUACGUUUACUUUGAACAAAUUAGAGUGCUUAAAGCAGGCUAUCCUCGCCUGAAUACUGCGUGCAUGGAAUAAUGGAAUAGGACCUCGGUUCUAUUUUGUUGGUUUUCGGAACCCCGAGGUAAUGAUUAAUAGGGACAGAUGGGGGCAUUCGUAUUGCGACGUUAGAGGUGAAAUUCUUGGAUCGUCGCAAGACGGACAGAAGCGAAAGCAUUUGCCAAAAAUGUUUUCAUUAAUCAAGAACGAAAGUUAGAGGUUCGAAGGCGGUCAGAUACCGCCCUAGUUCUAACCAUAAACGAUGCCCAGCUAGCGAUCCGCCGAAGUUCCUCCGAUGACUCGGCGGGCAGCUUCCGGGAAACCAAAGCUUUUGGGUUCCGGGGGAAGUAUGGUUGCAAAGCUGAAACUUAAAGGAAUUGACGGAAGGGCACCACCAGGAGUGGAGCCUGCGGCUUAAUUUGACUCAACACGGGAAACCUCACCAGGCCCAGACACCGGAAGGAUUGACAGAUUGAUAGCUCUUUCUUGAUUCGGUGGGUGGUGGUGCAUGGCCGUUCUUAGUUGGUGGAGCGAUUUGUCUGGUUAAUUCCGAUAACGAACGAGACUCUAGCCUGCUAAAUAGGCGUACCUUAUGGUAUCGCGAAGGCCCCCGGCUUCGGCCGGUGGGUUUUUACUACCAACGUACAAACAAAUCUUCUUAGAGGGACAGGCGG
Molecule: ribosomal RNA, 820 nt
Filed under: uncultured eukaryote
Lineage: Eukaryota
Description: SSU rRNA
Rfam family: Eukaryotic small subunit ribosomal RNA
Source: RNAcentral